This 514-nucleotide ribosomal RNA is filed under the name uncultured Latescibacterota bacterium. Its description in RNAcentral is "bacterial SSU rRNA". It matches the Rfam family "Bacterial small subunit ribosomal RNA", at positions 355 to 859 of the family's 1533-position model. The record is from RNAcentral. Lineage: Bacteria; Pseudomonadati; Candidatus Latescibacterota.
UCGAGAGGCUUUGGCAAUGGGGGAAACCCUGACCAAGCGACGCCGCGUGAAGGAUGAAGGCCCUUGGGUUGUAAACUUCUUUUGCUAGGGAAGAAACGCGAUCAGGUGAACAAUCUGGUCGUUUGACGGUACCUGGCGAAUAAGCUCCGGCUAACUCCGUGCCAGCAGCCGCGGUAACACGGGGGGAGCAAGCGUUGUUCGGAAUCACUGGGCGUAAAGGGCGUGUAGGCGGUUUGGUAAGUGGGACGUGAAAUCCCUCGGCUCACCCGAGGACCUGCGUCCCAUACUGCCAGGCUAGAGUACGGGAGAGGAUGAAGGAAUUCCUGGUGUAGCGGUGAAAUGCGUAGAUAUCAGGAGGAACACCGGUGGCGAAGGCGUUCAUCUGGCCCGAUACUGACGCUGAGGCGCGAAAGCUAGGGGAGCGAAACGGGAUUAGAUACCCCGGUAGUCCUAGCCGUAAACGGUGAGCACUAGGUGUUGGAGGCAUUGACCCCUCAGUGCCGCAGCUAACGCU